AGUGAACGCUGGCGGUAGGCCUAACACAUGCAAGUCGAACGGCAGCACAGUAAGAGCUUGCUCUUACGGGUGGCGAGUGGCGGACGGGUGAGGAAUACAUCGGAAUCUACUUUUUCGUGGGGGAUAACGUAGGGAAACUUACGCUAAUACCGCAUACGACCUACGGGUGGAAGCAGGGGAUCUUCGGACCUUGCGCGAUUGAAUGAGCCGAUGUCGGAUUAGCUAGUUGGCGGGGUAAAGGCCCACCAAGGCGACGAUCCGUAGCUGGUCUGAGAGGAUGAUCAGCCACACUGGAACGGAGACACGGUCCAGACUCCUACGGGAGGCAGCAGUGGGGAAUAUUGGACAAUGGGCGCAAGCCUGAUCCAGCCAUACCGCGUGGGUGAAGAAGGCCUUCGGGUUGUAAAGCCCUUUUGUUGGGAAAGAAAAGCAGCAGGUUAAUACCCCGCUGUUCUGACGGUACCCAAAGAAUAAGCACCGGCUAACUUCGUG
RNAcentral lists this ribosomal RNA (492 nucleotides) under uncultured bacterium. RNAcentral's name for it is "partial 16S ribosomal RNA". It matches the Rfam family "Bacterial small subunit ribosomal RNA", at positions 29 to 507 of the family's 1533-position model. The record is from RNAcentral.